UCGCUGAGGGCACCUGUCCCCUUUGGGUGGUCAGGUUGACUUACCUGCUGCCUCACCGCCCGGGAGGGAGGGGGGUAGUCACACGCAGCACACUGGCACAGCUGCCCCAGUUGGCUAUUCCCAGAUCCCAACCUGAUUAUUUAAAGAGCUCGAAAAUCAGCUUUCACAGCUCAGGAGCAGCAGGGAUGGCUGAUUCAUCAACACGUGGAGUCCCACUGAACACUCAUCAUCAUCUCAACCAGUCUUGAAAACACAAACACAUUCUUUACUCUUAUGAUUCACAAGCCUACGCUUCGUAAUAAGGCAAAUUAGUGGCAAUUGCAGUCAUCGACUAGAAGGACCCGACAGUGGAAAGCGGCAGUGUGUCCUGACUCCUGUGUGAUCAUUAACACAUAGAUGGCAUCGCCAUGGACCCCUUGCUUUCCUUCCUGCAUGCUUAUUUACUUCCUGUUAUAGUAUUAAUGGUGUUGUGUGGCAAGGCCUUAUUAUUGUAGUAAGCAGGAACCAACACUAAUCCAAUAUAAUGAGCCAGUGCACUAAUAUGAAUCUGUAAGAGAUGCAAUUAUUGGAAUGGGGGUGGGUAUCACAAGUAGAUUUUACAAAUAAGCCGUUUUCUGCACAACAUUACCAAGAAUAAAAUUCUCCCAAGAAUACUCUAGAA
Molecule: long non-coding RNA, 661 nt
Filed under: Salmo salar (Atlantic salmon)
Lineage: Eukaryota; Metazoa; Chordata; Actinopteri; Salmoniformes; Salmonidae
Description: lncRNA (ENSSSAG00000071250.2, ENSSSAG00075060242.1)
Source: RNAcentral